RNAcentral lists this ribosomal RNA (206 nucleotides) under Vibrio sp. OPT41. Its description in RNAcentral is "partial 16S ribosomal RNA". It matches the Rfam family "Bacterial small subunit ribosomal RNA", at positions 1025 to 1230 of the family's 1533-position model. RNAcentral also lists the same sequence under 1 other name. Lineage: Bacteria; Pseudomonadati; Pseudomonadota; Gammaproteobacteria; Vibrionales; Vibrionaceae. The record is from RNAcentral.
AACUCUGAGACAGGUGCUGCAUGGCUGUCGUCAGCUCGUGUUGUGAAAUGUUGGGUUAAGUCCCGCAACGAGCGCAACCCUUAUCCUUGUUUGCCAGCGAGUAAUGUCGGGAACUCCAGGGAGACUGCCGGUGAUAAACCGGAGGAAGGUGGGGACGACGUCAAGUCAUCAUGGCCCUUACGAGUAGGGCUACACACGUGCUACAA